RNAcentral lists this ribosomal RNA (869 nucleotides) under uncultured archaeon. Its description in RNAcentral is "bacterial SSU rRNA". It matches the Rfam family "Archaeal small subunit ribosomal RNA", at positions 50 to 925 of the family's 1478-position model. The record is from RNAcentral.
CAUGCGAGUCGAGAGGGUUCGGCCCUCGGCAGACUGCUCAGUAACACGUGGAGAACUUGCCCUACGCUGGAGGAUACCCUCGGGAAACUGAGAAUAAUACUCCAUAGUCCCGCCGUCCUGGAACGGUGGUGGGAUGAAAGCUCCGGCGGCGUAGGAUAGCUCUGCGGCCUAUCAGGUCGUAGCGAGGGUAACGUCCUCGCUAGCCUUCGACGGGUAUGGGUGUUGGGAGACAUCGCCCAGAGAUGGAUUCUGAGACACGAAUCCAGGUCCUACGGGACGCAGCAGGCGCGAAAACUGCACAAUGUGGGAAACCACGAUGCGGGAAACCCAAGUGCCAGCACUAUGUGUUGGCUGUCCUCGACUGUUUGUAGGUCGGGAAGAAAGUGCUGGGUAAGACGGGUGCCAGCCGCCGCGGUAAUACCCGCAGCACAAGUGGUGGUCAUUAUUAUUGGGCCUAAAGCGUCCGUAGCUGGCGUGUUAGAUGCCUGGGUAAAUCGAUGCGCUCAACGCAUCGAAUUCCGGGUAGACCGGCAUGCUCGAGACCGGGAGAGGUGUAGGCUACUCGCGGGGUAGGGGUAAAAUCCUGUAAUCCUGCGGGGAGGACCAGUGGCGAAGGCGCUACACUAGAACGGCUCUGACAGUGAGGGACGAAGCCCUGGGGCGCAAACCGGAUUAGAUACCCGGGUAGUCCAGGGUGCAAACGCUGUGGUCUUGGUGUCGGCAGUCCUACGUGGGCAGCCGGUGCCGGAGAGAAGUUGUUAAGACCACUGCCUGGGGAGUACGGCCGCAAGGUUGAAACUUAAAGGAAUUGGCGGGGGAGCACCGCAACGGGAGGAGCGUGCGGUUUAAUUGGAUUCAACGCCGGGAAG